RNAcentral lists this long non-coding RNA (1990 nucleotides) under Felis catus (domestic cat). RNAcentral describes it as "lncRNA (ENSFCAG00000044724.2)". The stretch from base 1752 to 1843 matches the Rfam family "tRNA". Lineage: Eukaryota; Metazoa; Chordata; Mammalia; Carnivora; Felidae. The record is from RNAcentral.
UGCCGGAGGUUCUAGAAUUGAGACCCUGUUGCCCAGCAACCUUGAUAAUACACAUAGAGUGACUUUUCCUCCUUCCUGGGCUUGCUCACUUCCUUUCCCUUUACCCCUGCUUCCUGGGAUCUCCUCCCAAACGAACGAGUCCUGUCUCAGGCUCUGCUUCUGGGGGAACCCAAGCUAAGAGAGAAGUGCUAUUAACAACCGGAGGAUCUGAAUGCCAUCUCUUACCUUUCAGAAUUGUCACUUACACCUAAACCAGAGAGGAGGAGAGUCCCAACGCUGGCUUUGAAACACCUCUGACCCACAGGAAAUGGCUGUUUUCAAGUGUCAGGAGGAAGCCCGGGGAGCUUGACUUGGAAAGACUUACAGUGCAGAGGACAGCAGACACAGCGGAGUGUGGGAGGUAAUGCCUGAAGCUUCACUAGAGGGAUUCAGUGAAAGUUUGCAGCCUGCCUGCAAGGACCUCCCCCAGAGCCUUCCUCAGGAGGCUGGCGGUCAAGCACGGACUCCCCAAAAGAAAGACUGGAGAGGAUAAGUACCCCCAGACUGACAAGUUAACGCGAAGGUACUGUGCUUACAACGAAAGCCCUUUAUGCCUCAGCUUGUCCUGGCCUCGCCUGCCGGCUCCUCAAAUCUCGGCCGCAGUGCAGCAUCUGGCCAGCCUCCGGCAGGUGCAGCCUGACAGUAUCUGGCCUCCGGCCCACGGAUGCUUCUUACUUCCUGCCCUUGGGCUUCUCCCAAAGACCCAGGCAAGAGCCACCUCCCUUCUGAUGUAUGUUCCACCUGGAAAUAGAGUCGAGUUGACACCCCCUGAGUCACCUCUUUGACCAACUGGUUUAGGGGGAGAAUCCUGAGCUGACAGAGGCAUCCCUCCCUCUUUCUCGGGAAUGGACAGACAGCGCUAGGACACGUUCACGCAGCUGUCCAGGCUGUCCCCCGAUAGAGCAACCAGUCACCUGCCGUCAUGACCAAGCGAUAGUGAAUCCUUGAACCGGCUCUCCCUCCUUCCCUGUUUCACCUCCUAUCACUCCCCGUCCCCUGGAGCAAACCCCCGGUUUGUCUUGUGUGGUCUUAGGCUUUGCUUUCUGGCAAACCCAGGUUAGAACGAAACUGAUUAAAAACGUUAAAAAAAAUUUUUUUUAAUGUUUAUUGAUUCUUGAGGGAGAGACAGAGUGUGAGAAGGGGAGAGGCAGAGAGGGGGAGACACAGAAUCACAGAACAGUUUUCUAAAUGUUUUCUGAUCGUUAUAAUCGUGGGUCCCGAUUUAUCUAUUUUUUCCUACUAUGUGGCCUGGCCGAGUUUGGGGGGUUUCUUCCUAUACUAACUCCCUCUCCGCCAUCCACUUACAGCUGUUACCACGCUUCUCCAUUAUGAAAUAUUAGUAUUAGGGGUAAAUAUUAGUAUAUCUAAUCCUCUAUCUUCCACUGGUAUAUGAAAUUAAAUAAUGGUCAUUCUGUCCCCAUAAAACACUUUGCCAGCUCAGCCCCCUUCACUCUCAUUGUGAAGGAAACUUUAUUUUUUUACUUGUUAUUUCCUUCCUCCUUCAACUUUGAACUUUGCUGAGACUGCCCAUAAUUAUAAAUGUCACCCCAUCAGCUUUCCCCUUCAGGUAUUUACCUUUGGUUUCGAAAUCCUACAUUUAUACUUUGUAAUUCUUUGUUACAUUAUCAUUUUCCGUUUAGAUCUAUUUUAAAAAUCUGAUUAUUUGAUUCAUUUUCACUUACUUUGGCCUUUACUGGAAAGUUUUUAGGGGCGCCUGGGUGGCUCAGUUGGUUGAGCAUCUGACUCUUGGUGUCGGCCCAGGUCACGAUCUCAGGGUUCGUGGGUUUGAGCCCCACAUGGGGCUCUGCACUGACAGUGCGGAGCCUGCUUGGGAUUUUCUCUCCGUCUCUCUCUCUCUGCCCUUCACCUGCUCGCAUUCUCUCUCUCUCUCUCUCUCUCUCUCUCUCUGUCUCAAAAUAAAUAAAUAAAUGUUUAAGAAAAGAAGAGAAGA